GACGAACGCUGGCGGCGUGCUUAACACAUGCAAGUCGAACGGAAAGGCCCUGCUUGCAGGGUACUCGAGUGGUGAACGGGUGAGUAACACGUGGGUGAUCUGCCCUGCACUUCGGGAUAAGCCUGGGAAACUGGGUCUAAUACCGGAUAGGAGCCAUUUUGAGUGUGAUGGUUGGAAAGUUUUUUCGGUGUAGGAUGAGCUCGCGGCCUAUCAGCUUGUUGGUGGGGUAAUGGCCUACCAAGGCGGCGACGGGUAGCCGGCCUGAGAGGGUGGACGGCCACAUUGGGACUGAGAUACGGCCCAGACUCCUACGGGAGGCAGCAGUGGGGAAUAUUGCACAAUGGGCGCAAGCCUGAUGCAGCGACGCCGCGUGGGGGAUGACGGCCUUCGGGUUGUAAACUCCUUUCGCUAGGGACGAAGCUUUUUGUGACGGUACCUAGAUAAGAAGCACCGGCUAACUACGUG
This 465-nucleotide ribosomal RNA is filed under the name uncultured bacterium. RNAcentral's name for it is "partial 16S ribosomal RNA". It matches the Rfam family "Bacterial small subunit ribosomal RNA", at positions 28 to 507 of the family's 1533-position model. The record is from RNAcentral.